This is a long non-coding RNA of Taeniopygia guttata (zebra finch), 7181 nucleotides long. NCBI's taxonomy places the organism in Eukaryota, Metazoa, Chordata, Aves, Passeriformes, Estrildidae. The record is from Ensembl.
GCUUCAGCUCAUAGGAAUGUGAUGUUAAACUUGAUAGUAAAGUCCUUGCCUCAUGCUGAGAGCAAUUUUGGUUAAUGACUUUAAUGAUCAGUGAAUUGUGUGGGUUAUUACUGUACACUGUGAAGUUAUGUGAAUAAAAAAUACAGCCAUUGUUUCUCAAUAUAAUGUUGCUAUUUUAAUUAUAUUUGAAGAGUGACCAAGGCUCAGGUCUUCAGAACCUGAAAUGGCGGGGGGGGGGGGGGGGAAAUGUGGUAAAAUUCUUGCUAACUUUUUACACAAAAGUAUGAGAAACCUUACUGCCAUAUUUACUUGUAGUCAUUAGCUUGUACAGAGACACAAGAACUACAAUUACAUGAGAUAAUGAAAUAAACACACACAGUGAGAGUACAUUCAUCUAGCUAACCUGAAAACAGAAAUAUCUCACACUGGCUGAAACUGAAAUGAAGACAGAAGCCAAAUAUUAGCAUUUUCAACCAUAUGCUGUCACUGUAGCUAUGAGAUAAAGUCAAGAAGAUAGAAAUAUGAAGACUUUCAUAAUGAGAUGUAGAUCCAAGUUUAGUUUGCAUCACUGAAACCUGUCUUCUUUAUUUAGGUUUUUUAUUUUGAGGGUUGUAUUCAUUAUUCUAAGAUAUUUUUUCCAUUUCCCUGUUGUUAAUUGAUCAGUAUUAUUGAUGGUCAGUUGAUGGUCAGAGGAGUUUGAUGUUAACCUGUCAAUUGCAACUCCUUUUAGUUCACCUUUAUCUCAUUUGCCGCUUGAUUCCUAUAAAAAGGAUUAUAUUCCAAACAUCUAUCAUCUGAUACAAGUUAUUUACCUUUUAGUAUAUCAGAUAAGAAUUUAGAAAACAUUCCAGUUUCUUUAAGGUGUAAAAAAAAGUCAAUGUAAAAUUGAAUUUACUUAUACUACUUUAAAACAUCUUUUGUUACCAAAAUUCCUGCUUUCUAAUGGUUUUAAAUGUGCAUAUCGGGAAGUGUACUAUUAACACAAGCAUCAUUAUCAUCACUUGAGUUAAAACUGUACAACUCUCUGAUGUAUUUUAAUGUGAAUGAUUUUUUCAGGUACUGCUAAAAAAACCCCUGUGCUUUUGUUCUCCAGUAGUUGGGUGCAGACUUACUUUUCUUUACUAUAAGUGUGGUUUUCAUCAGCGUGAAAAAACAAUCCACCUUAUUAGUGAAGAAUUCUUCUUUCACUGUGGUUUAGUAAAGGUUGUCAGGGAUUUAAAUUUGGACUGGAAUUGUUAACGUAUCUAAGAGUUGCAUGCAGCAGAGCUGUGCAAUAGAACUGUACGAAGUAAAAAUGUGCCUCCUAGUGUAAGGAAGGGGAAAAAUUCAUUUUCAUGAAAAUGCUUGAUAAAUCACAUUUUGAUAGCUGCAAGCUGUGGAUGUGAUUCAUUUUUCUUCAAAGAGAUAAAGAGGAAUAGCAUAUAUUUAGUGGAGUGUUAGAACUGCUCUAGGGAGAAAGUCUACUGCACACUGUGGAUGAAUCUAUGCAAUAAUUCCAGCGGUUAAAAACCAGACAGAAAUAUAAUAUUUAUGUCUUCUGAUACAUGUUUACAAAGCUAAGUAAAUGUUUUCCCAAUUUCUACAUCUUAUUAAUAAGUAGUAUCAAUACAUAUCAACAAAUUAAUAGCUUCAUAAAAACAUGAAGCUGUAGCAAAGACUGUAAUACACCCACCAGUUUCAAGAUCAUGUUUUUAUUUAGCAAAAUUAAAUAGAACAUUCUACUAUGUCCUAUGUUACUUCAAAAGCAAUUCCAUAUUCUUGGAAGUAAUGUUAUAAUGCUGUAUUUCAGUAAUAAUGUUUGUGGAUUGCUUUUUUAUUUCCAGUACAAUAAAAACUGUGUGGUUAAAUUUGGCUGAUAAAUACCAGUUUAAUAAACCUAAUACUGUGGCAGUCUAGUCAAGUAAUGUCAGGGGUGUUAAAUGGUACUCUAAUUCCAGUAAUAAGUAGGAAUAUCUCUGCGGCAGUGGUUUAAUUAUGAUUAAAGUUCAGAGUAAUGGCAAGACUGCCUUGUAUUAGACUUGGUCAUAUGAUAGUGUCCCAGGUGGAGAAGCUAAGCCUCUCCUGCAAAGAGCUUUGGUUUUACAGUGUCACUAUCAUUACACCCAGUGGGUGAUGAUGGUUUAACCUUGAGGGCAUACCCUCUGCUUAAUCCUGUCUUUCAUUUUACUGCCUCCAAAGUUUCUUCUUUGGCAAUAUUGGAGUAGUCCAUAGCUAAACAGCCUAAGGUGUAGAAAAAAAUGCUACAGUAAUAAUGCCUAGAUCUAGAUAAUUUACUGUCCAUAGUCAUUCUUGUGUUUUCAUAAUAUGAGACUAGAACUAAAAUAGGAACAUUUGCCUUUGAGUCAUAGCCUCCAUUUCAUUAAACACGAGUUCAUACCUCACUUGGAAUCUAACACUGUCACAUUUAGCUGCAGGCAAGCAGGAGUAAGAAAAACUGGAGUCAGGUUGGUGAAUUAGCCUACAGAAAAGCUAUAAAAUAGUCUGAAGUCUGAAUUCAAUCUUAGCCCAUGCACUUAUGACUUUAAAAAGAUAAAUAAAAUCUGAGAGGCAUAAGAAGAUUGCUAUCUCUUUACAUCUCUUUGAUGCCUCAUUGCAGUGAGGAUUUAAUUGUCUUGGUUUAGAAAAGCCACUGUGCUACAUGUGUUCCUAUUCUACUCUCCUUUCGUCCACACACCAAAGCUAACUGGAGUGUAAAUCAGGAGGCCAUAACCAUUGAAUGAGCAGGGGAGCUUGUCUCAUUGCUUCUCUAAGAGGAACAGAUAACUUUCCAAAACUUUCUAGCUGCUGCUGCCUGAGAAGAGCACUUGCAAGUCCUCAGCAGUGAGAUGAAAAGGCUACAUGGGGCAGGGGGACUAUGACAAGGGUUGGAGGAUUAAAGGAAUGGGAAGCUUGCAUGUGAGAUGAAAGAUGAUGCCUUUGGCUGCCAUCUCUGAUGAUACCAAGGACAGUUUAAAACCUCAGAUGCUUUUGCCAGGUUAAAACAAGGGACUUAAGGAAUUAAGAGCAAUUUUUCUCCUGUAAGUAUUUUCUACUCACAAGGCCUUUCUUCAUAUCAUGACAAACCCAGAUCUACUGAAGACAUUCACAGACUUUUUAAAGUUUCAAAGUAAUAUUAUUAUCCAGUCAAACCUCUACCAUAGCAUAAUGCUUAGUGUUUCACUCAACUUUCCUUAAAUCAAACUGAGGUUUUAAAAUAUUCCAGUGAUAAAAUAGUCCAGUGAUUUAUUUUCAGUGGUGUUUGAUUACAUGUUUUAUAUGGGUUUACAUGGCAAGGUUAUGGGUAGGGGGGCUGCAGAGGGUGCCUCUUUGAGAAGACACUAGAAGCUUCCCCCCAUGUUUGACAGAGCCAGUUCUCAGUGGCUCUGAAACAGAUUCAUUGCUGCCCAAAGCUGCACAGCAGCUGGGGGGAAGGAGAAAGAAAAACGUUAGAAAAACAAACCUGCAGAUACUAAGGGCCAUGAUGAAGGAGGAAGAGAGCACAAAAUAGAUUCCUCUCAGCUUGUGGAGAAGGUGGUGCCCCCAGCAGCCCAUGGAGGACCCCACCCUGGUAGGUGGGGGCCAGGUAGGUAUGCUUCCCUGAAGGAAGUUGCAGUCCAUGAAGGGCACAUGCAGGAGCAGGAACUGUGGACCCUAGGGAACGCACUCUGGAGCAAUCUUGUCUUGAAGGCUCACACAUUGUGGAAGGGACCCACGUAUUGCUGGAAAAGGACCACAUGUUGGCCAGGGUAUGAUGAGGACAAAGCAGCAGAUACAAAGUUUUAGCGACUGGCUGCAACUCAUAUUCAUAUCCCUUAACACCACUUAGUGACAGGAGCAAGGUGGGGAGGAGUCAGAAGAGGAGGGCUUGGAAAAAUGAAUUUGAGCCUGGGAAGAGGGAAGGGUUGGGAAGUGGGAAAGGUGCUUUUAGUUUUGUUUUUCUUGUUUCUUGCAAUUCUACUUGAGUUUUUAUUGAUGAUAAAUUAAAUUUGUCUUGCCCUGGCUGUCAGUUCUGCCAGUGACGGUACCUAGCCGGCAGCAGUGUGUGGCAGCAGUGCCGAUCGUGAUCCAGGGAGGCCACCACCAGCAGCAGGAAAAUCUGAGGAGACAAGUCUGUUGUUUAGCAGGGCAGCCUAUGUUAUUUCACCCCCGCCCCUCCACCCCGUGCCGGGGGAGCAGGGGCCCAGGAGCCUGAGGAAAGCCCAGAGAGUGCAGAGCUGAGAGCAGAGCAGAGAUCGAGCAGACCCAGGGCCCUGGGGUUUUAUCAGGUGUCCCAUGGGAGGAGUCUUGCGGUGGCUCCCUGCCACGGCCUCGGGCAGAUGGGAUGAGCCGGCUGGCACUGCCCAUGUGAGGCCGGGUGGCCACCACGAGAGAGGCACCCCAGGGGACGGUGUCUGCCACCCUGGUGGUGCUGAGUGCUGCUCGUGGGCGCGCAGCUUUGGUAGCUCUGCACGCUGAGAGGAGGUGAAGGGUUGAGAGAAGGACAAUUGUCUGCCAGCCCAAAGAGUCUAUUUUCCCUGGGUGGGGCAAGUACAAGGUGCUCUCUGAGUGGGUGCAGGAGCAAAUGCCAAAGAAAUCAAAGAUUGCAACAGCUUAAGUAGGGGGUGGACAGACGGGUGCAAACCUGACUCACCAAUGAGGGUAAACCAAAAAGGGAUGACACCAAUUACAACAACCUGUGAUAACGUAACAGGGGUAAGCACAAGGUCAGGGGACAAAUAGAAAAGCCAAACUGUGAUGAUUGAUACAGAAAUUUCUGGAAGAACCUGGGGGUGGUUACAGGAUUGACAACCAAAAGGGUAUAAACAAACUCAGAUUGAUGGAACCAAAUGAGAAAACAGGGAGAGGUGAGAAGAUUGACAGAUAACUGGGGAACCAAGUGGCAGGAACUUUUGGGGUAAAAAACUUGGAUCAAACCAACUGUGAGGGGGAAAAACGGGGGAACAUAAAGGCUAAGUAACAUUGAUAAAACCACACCGCAAUAAGAGUCUUAAAAUCAGAUUACAGCCUCCUCAGAACUGGAAGGGUCCACACUAGCCAGUGAUCUCCCUGUCCUUAUCUCAACCCUUGAGCUUUUUCGUUUCAUCUUCUUCCCAUCUUGUUGAGAAGGGGGGGGGGGGGGGGGGGGGGGGUGGUAGAGCAGCUUGGUGAGCACCUGGCAGCAGCCAAGGUUAACCCACCAGAGUAUUAAAGCUGGUGUUGUAUUCUCAGUCUGAAAGCAUGUAUUUUCAGUUUCUACCCCUUGUCUGUUUUACUGUACCACUGUUCAUCAACAUGAAGUCUGUGACUUCCAGAAGUGCAAGUAUAUUUGGGGACCCAAUGGAAUUUUUUGACUAGUACAGGAUCCUGCACAAUACAAAUGAGAAAUCCUAAGCAAUAACCUAAAAAAGCAUGUGUCUUCUGCUGGUAUCUACAGCAUAUGUUACAAAAUGAUUUCUUGAUUUAAUGAUCUUGAUUUAGUGACAGAGGAAAUAGUACUACAUUGCUUACUGAUGUCAACUGAAUCCGGUUUUUAUUUGAUAAAAGGAGUUUUUGGUGUCCAUAGUUCAGAUGGUGUGCUCAAGUCUUCUUGAAUCUGCAUUACAGAGGUUAAUUUGUAGUAGUAUUUUGAACGUUGCAACAUUUUUUUCUUAAGCAUUUUUUUCCUUUCUAUAUAUUAAUACUGGUCGGUCCAAUGCCUAUCCAGUAAAAAAAAAAACAAAAAAAACCCCAGAAAAAAAAAACAAAAAACAACCAAACAAAAAAAACCCCACAAGUCUUCUAAACUGCAGAGUUUUAAAAUCAGUUUUUCUCUUUAACAGUCAUUGUUUUGACCUGAGUGUUUUUUGGGGCUUUUUUUCUGCCGUAUAAACAUGAUGUGUAUUUGUAAAAAGUACUGGUAACAGUAACUUUUUCAGCAAUAAAACAGAGACUGACUACUAUUUAAAGACUUUCCACAGGAAAUUAAAGUCAAAAUCACAAUUGAACACAUGUAUCUUUAAUCAUCAUGAAAUGUAUUUGAAAAAUUAUUUUAGCAUUCUACAUGCUCUAUCACCUAGCUGUAUUUAUCACAAUUCACCUUUUAAAAGUGUGAUAGUGUGAUUAUGGCAGAAAUAUUUGUUUGAUAUUUUUGAGGUUGGUGUUUCCAAAUUCAGUGAAAGUUAUUGCUGACAACUGUGACUCCUUGUUACCUUGAAAUGACAACUAAUUUCCCAGUGUUACAUAUUUUUUAUGAAUGGAGUCUUAGCAGUGCAUCUUCUAUUCCCAAUGGCAAGCUGACAAAAAGAAAGGUGAUAUUUGUUAGAAUAAAGUGUUGAAGUUAGCAUGGCAUUUUUAAUUUCAGCCUUUAAGUGGUUACAAAUUUUAAGUAGAAUUAGAAUUGUUGAUGGCUGCAGUGAGAGGAAUAACUUAAUGCAUGAAAAAUAACCUCAUUGCACCCACACAGACUUGGGCUUAAGAACUAGAAAACAACUUUACAGUGGGAGAACUGGGAGUCCUCAUGGAUAGCAAAUUAGCCAUGAGCCAGAAAGACACCCUUGAAGAAAAUAAAUCAGUCUCCUAACUACAAUAGAAAAGGUGCUGCCAGCAAGCUGUUGGGAAAGAUCCUUUCUCUCUACUCAGCACUGGUGUGACACUAUUGAAGUGCCAAGUCCAGUGCUGGUUUUUCCAGUCUGGAAGGAAAAUAGAAAUAUGGACUGAGUACAGAAAAGGACCACAAAGAUUAUUAAGGUAUUAGAGCAUCUGUCACAUGGAGAGAUGCUGAGAGAACUGUGACUGUUCAUCCUGGAGAAGGGAGAGGCUUAGGAAGGAUCUAAUUAAUGUGUGCAAAUACCUGAUGUGGUGCAGGAAGGAGAGCAGAGAGAGAGCCAGACUUUUCUCAGUAGUGUACCAAAUCAAAGAAAGGACACUGGGCACAAACUGAAAUACAGACAAAUUUUAUUUAAACAUAAAGAAGAAAAAUUCACCACAUUUUCUUGCUAUCGGAACAAUACAAAUCUGCACCAAGUUUCGCAGAGAGAUUGUGGCAUCUUCAUGGAUAUUUUGGAAAUCAAACAGGCCAUUUCUAUAGCUGAGUCAUGGUAACUCCCUGAGUUGAGCAGGAAGGUGUGAAUAAAGCCUCUCCAGACUUCCCUUUCAAGUUUAACCAUUCUAUGAUUCUGAAAUCCUAUUAAUUAAUUAAAUUUGUCUUCCAUAGACUGUGCAAUACAGAUGUGAAGAAAAAAAAA